Molecule: long non-coding RNA, 335 nt
Filed under: Androctonus crassicauda
Lineage: Eukaryota; Metazoa; Arthropoda; Arachnida; Scorpiones; Buthidae
Source: RNAcentral
UGGACGGCGGCUCGAUGAGCAUAGGCGGGACGUUGAGACGGGCAGAGUUGCGACGGCCCUGGCAGGGGAGGCCUGCCGGAGCGGCCUGCAUGUCGGGUGGGACCGUGCAGGGGUGAUGGGGACGAUCGGGCUCCCACCCCGGGCAGUGGCCCAUGAAACGAUAGAGAUUGUGAGAGCGAGGGAGGCCCAGAGUCUGUUGAGUGACAGGCCUUCGGUCGAGCUGCCAGCGGCCUGGAGGUGCAUGCUUGGAGACUUUGGAUGGCUGUUUAUAAUAAUAAUAUUUUUUUGUCGCCAUUCUGCCGCUUGGUCGUGUUUGCGUUGAUGUUGAGUGCUUG